CGUUGUCUUCGGACAACCACCAAUGGUCAGUGGCUUGAGAUGACCGCCUUCGGGUAGCUGAAAUAACACUCCUGUAGCCUGAAAGGGAGAACACAUCAGUGUGGUACAUCUGCUCACCUUUGGAAGCAGAUAUCGUCAAUCACGGCUCCU
Molecule: small RNA, 150 nt
Filed under: Pantoea agglomerans
Lineage: Bacteria; Pseudomonadati; Pseudomonadota; Gammaproteobacteria; Enterobacterales; Erwiniaceae
Also listed under: 1 other name
Description: STAXI RNA
Rfam family: STAXI RNA
Source: RNAcentral